Molecule: unclassified non-coding RNA, 716 nt
Filed under: Hevea brasiliensis (rubber tree)
Lineage: Eukaryota; Viridiplantae; Streptophyta; Magnoliopsida; Malpighiales; Euphorbiaceae
Source: RNAcentral
CAAUGAUAUCCCUAUAUAUUUCCAGAGCAGUAUCUACUCUCCCCUCGUCACAAUGUGCAUUAAUCAAAUUAUUAUACGAGACAACAUUAGGAACUAUAUCAUGCUGUUCAAAAAAGUACUUAAAUAGCGCAAUAGCCUCAUUGUAACGUUUGGCUCGAUACAUUGCAGCGAUGAUCGCGUUGCAGGUGAACACAGUGGGACGAGUUCUGGUGUAGACGGCGUUGCGAGCGAGAAGGGAGGCGUUGUCGAGAUCGAAGGCGCGAAUGAGAGAUUGCACUCGGUUAUGGAGGUUGAGACGCGGGCCGACUAGUGCACUGGUGGAGUCCGGAAGACGAGGCGCGUUGGGAUCGCGAGGCGGAGGGUUAGAAUUUCGUUGAAGGGCAUGGAGGGGGGGUUCGAUGCGAAGGCGUCGCUUGCGUCUACGGCGUUCCGCGGCAGCUUCCUCAGCAGAGGAGAAGGCGUAGCUGUGGGAUUUAGGGAGGAGGGGAGAAGAAGAAAUGGGGUUGGAUAAGGAUGAAAUUGGGCCAUUAGAGUCGGAAGUUUGGGAAGUGGUCGUCGGAGAGUGGGUGAGGUGGUGGAGGGCGCGAAUUAGAGGUUGAAAGGACUUGGUGGUGGUAGCCGCGGUGGCAGCGGAGCAACGGAGGACGCGGUAGAAGGACAUUGGGCCUCUAAGGAGAGAGAUGAUAAGCAGAGCAGGAGAGAGUUUAGAACCUUAA